This 422-nucleotide ribosomal RNA is filed under the name uncultured Sediminibacterium sp. RNAcentral describes it as "bacterial SSU rRNA". It matches the Rfam family "Bacterial small subunit ribosomal RNA", at positions 355 to 774 of the family's 1533-position model. The record is from RNAcentral. Lineage: Bacteria; Pseudomonadati; Bacteroidota; Chitinophagia; Chitinophagales; Chitinophagaceae.
UAAGGAAUAUUGGUCAAUGGACGCAAGUCUGAACCAGCCAUGCCGCGUGAAGGAUUAAGGUCCUCUGGAUUGUAAACUUCUUUUAUCUGGGACGAAAAAAGGCGAUUCUUCGUCACUUGACGGUACCAGAUGAAUAAGCACCGGCUAACUCCGUGCCAGCAGCCGCGGUAAUACGGAGGGUGCAAGCGUUAUCCGGAUUCACUGGGUUUAAAGGGUGCGUAGGCGGGCAGGUAAGUCAGUGGUGAAAUCCUAGAGCUUAACUCUAGAACUGCCAUUGAUACUAUCUGUCUUGAAUAUUGUGGAGGUAAGCGGAAUAUGUCAUGUAGCGGUGAAAUGCUUAGAUAUGACAUAGAACACCUAUUGCGAAGGCAGCUUACUACGCAAUCAUUGACGCUGAGGCACGAAAGCGUGAGGAUCAAACA